This 71-nucleotide transfer RNA is filed under the name Erinaceus europaeus (western European hedgehog). It matches the Rfam family "tRNA". From Rfam's summary of the family: Transfer RNA (tRNA) molecules are approximately 80 nucleotides in length. Their secondary structure includes four short double-helical elements and three loops (D, anti-codon, and T loops). Further hydrogen bonds mediate the characteristic L-shaped molecular structure. tRNAs have two regions of fundamental functional importance: the anti-codon, which is responsible for specific mRNA codon recognition, and the 3' end, to which the tRNAs corresponding amino acid is attached (by aminoacyl-tRNA synthetases). tRNAs cope with the degeneracy of the genetic code in two manners: having more than one tRNA (with a specific anti-codon) for a particular amino acid; and 'wobble' base-pairing, i.e. permitting non-standard base-pairing at the 3rd anti-codon position. The record is from Rfam by way of RNAcentral. Lineage: Eukaryota; Metazoa; Chordata; Mammalia; Eulipotyphla; Erinaceidae.
AGGGAGGUAGCUCAGUGAUAGAAUUCAUGUUUCAUGUGUAUGAAACCCUGGGUUUGAUCCCUGCCUCCCCA